GCACCGUGCUCUGCACUUCAGGCGUACAAAAGUGAGCAACAUAGUGAGUAAUCCUGUCCCCAAAGGUUUACAGUCUCAUCUGGGAAAGAAAAUAUAUGCACACAAAAAGACCAAAAGUAAAUAAACAAUGUAACACAGUGAAUACCGAAUAUAAAGUGAAUGGCACAGGUUAUAAAUAUCAUAGGAACUCAGGUGGGGAGAAUGACAACUUCUGAUUGGACUAAUGAGAGAGGAGCACACCGAAGGAACACGGGAAGCAGAGCUCGGACACAGUGUGCCCUGAAUCCAGCCCCAUGAUGCCCCAUGAUGCACCCUCUGUCCCGGGCAGGGAACGAUAUUUACAACCAUGGUAACACCGAAUGAAAGGAUCGUUCAAUGGCAAGCCCAGAUUUUGCUGGCUGAUAGCCCUGAUAUGGAAUAGGCUGAAUCAAAUUCUUCACACUUUUAUUUAGAAGUCAACGAACUAACUCUCAUGAGAGUGUCUACAUCCUAACUAAUGCAAAAGGCCAUGGCUGUGGGUUUGCUUGUGUUUGUGUGUCUGUGUGUGUGCAUGAAUUCACAGGUACUCGAAUAAAAACAGCUAAUCUUUUAAUGGCCGAUUAUUAUUUGUCAAGUACUAGUCCAAGUAUUUUACCUAUGUUUAUUCAUUUAGUCUUUACAACAACUCUGUGAGGUAGGCUCUAUGAUCCUCAAUUUACAGAGGAGAAAAUCAAAGUCCAAGGAAUUUAAAUAAUUUUCCCAAGGAUCAUCAUGUAUUAGGUGUUCUACCCACAAAUCUGCCUUAGACACUGUUAGCACCAGUUUCUCUUUGAGCCACCUGGCCGAUUCACUUCCUCGGUGAGGUGUGAACAGGACAGUGAAAGUGCCUCCACCCAGGACCUUCCACAGUAGCCUAAUCCAUGCAAUUCAUUGACAUCCUUCAGGAUGGGGCAGACUGGGUUGUGGGCUCCAGGAGAGAGGACACAGCUUCUUCAAGAGAUUCCCCAAUAAUUCAGGAGCCUCUCUGUCAGCAUCCAUGGGCCUUUCUUGGCUAACAAGAAGCCCAAAGGGGAAUGUCUUUCCCUGCCGUCCUCUCUUAGGGAGUGAGUACAUCUGAGUGGAAUAUAUUUUCAUACUAGAUGUGACUGUUCAAUGCACAAAACAGAUGAAAGGCCAAUCUCUCUUCUCUCACUUGUGCUCAGAGUCCGCAUCUGUAAAAUGAGACAAUUGGACUCAGCCUUUUCUAAAGUUUUUCCAGAUUCAUAAUCCUAUAACUCUUCAGCUCCAUGAGAUUCCUUCCUCACUUCAGUAUAUUGACUCAGGGUAAGUGGCAUUUCUUUGGACUGAAAUCUCUGCAUUGAGAAACCAGGACUGAGUCUGUCGCACUCUCUUCCCUUGAAGAGACGCAACAGAUACACUGGAGAUGUCAAAUUAAAACCACUUUCUGACUCCAUUUGAGAAGGAUGAGAAUUGCUGUCCCAAGAUGAGCGAUGCCGCUUGAAAGAUGACUCGUGCUCCAGGUUGGUGUAUUUUUCUACCUUCUGAUGACCUCUUUAUUAUAUUUUUGCUUUCUCAAACUUCCCUACUUAGAGGAAGUUUUUUGCAGUAAAAAAAAAGAGAGAGACCUCACUCAUUCACAAAGUGAGUCUCACUUUCCUAUUUGAAUGGAGCACCAUCAAUACUGGCUUCUUUGUAGAAUAAUUGAGGGCUAGCCAUUGCCCCUUUUCCUUUAUCCACUUAUUUUCUUCAGCUACAUCAGCCUGUCUGCCUGCUUUAUAAGAGAGCUUCUUUUUUUUCUAGAAUGGCUUCUACUAUAAUACUAUUCUCAUAUCAGGUGGCUCCUGGUUUGAAUGUUGAAUUUGUUUACAUACAAAGUUAAGAAAAUGGGCAGCUCUCUACCUGAAAUACGACAUUUCCCCUUCCUCAUCCCAGGUGCCACAAAACCAUAUUGUUGGUGGGGGUUAAUCUUACAUUGUCAGAGUAGGCAGAAAGUCCCUCAGUGGCUCCAUGGUCUUGAGGAGAAAGGCCAGGACUGGCAGCCAGCAGACUCGGGUUUCUAGCUCUGGCUCAAGACUUGAUUAGCUAUGACCCAUCAUUCCAGGCUUCGGUCUCCUUAAUUUAAAAGAAGCAUCUUGGGGCUGGCCCGGUGGCACAGCAGUUAAGUGCGCAUGUUCCAUUUCGGCGGCACAGGGUUCACCGGUUCGGAUCCCAUGUUCGGGUGCGGACAUGGCACUGCUUGGCAAGCCAUGCUGUGGUAGGCAUCCCACAUAUAAAGUAGAGGAAGAUGGGCACGGAUGUUAGCUCAGGGCCAGUCUUCCUCAGCAAAAAGAGGAGGAUCGGCAGCAGAUGUUAGCUCAGGGCUAAU
Molecule: long non-coding RNA, 2344 nt
Organism: Equus asinus (donkey)
Lineage: Eukaryota; Metazoa; Chordata; Mammalia; Perissodactyla; Equidae
Source: Ensembl